CCUACGGGUGGCUGCAGUGAGGAAUAUUGGUCAAUGGGCUUACGCCUGAACCAGCCAAGUCGCGUGAGGGAAGACUGCCCUAUGGGUUGUAAACUGCUUUUAGUUGGGAAUAAAAGGGGGCUCGUGAGCCCCGUAUUGUAUGUACCAUCAGAAAAAGGACCGGCUAAUUCCGUGCCAGCAGCCGCGGUAAUACGGAAGGUCCGGGCGUUAUCCGGAUUUAUUGGGUUUAAGGGGAGCGUAGGCCGGCUUUUAAGUCAGCUGUGAAAGUCCGCGGCUCAACCGUGGAAUUGCAGUUGAAACUGGAGGCCUUGAGUGCACACAGGGAUGCCGGAAUUCAUGGUGUAGCGGUGAAAUGCUUAGAGAUCAUGAAGAACUCCGAUCGCGAAGGCAAGUGUCCGGGGUGCAACUGACGCUGAGGCUCGAAAGUGCGGGUAUCAAACAGGAUUAGAUACCCCGGUAGUC
This 462-nucleotide ribosomal RNA is filed under the name uncultured bacterium. Its description in RNAcentral is "partial 16S ribosomal RNA". It matches the Rfam family "Bacterial small subunit ribosomal RNA", at positions 338 to 795 of the family's 1533-position model. The record is from RNAcentral.